UACGUAGGUGGCGAGCGUUGUCCGGAUUUACUGGGCGUAAAGCGUGCGCAGGCGGUUUGCUAAGACCGAUGUGAAAUCCCCGGGCUUAACCUGGGAACUGCAUUGGUGACUGGCAAGCUAGAGUGUGGCAGAGGGGGGUAGAAUUCCACGUGUAGCAGUGAAAUGCGUAGAGAUGUGGAGGAAUACCGAUGGCGAAGGCAGCCCCCUGGGCUAACACUGACGCUCAUGCACGAAAGCGUGGGGAGCAAACAGG
RNAcentral lists this ribosomal RNA (253 nucleotides) under uncultured bacterium. RNAcentral describes it as "partial 16S ribosomal RNA". It matches the Rfam family "Bacterial small subunit ribosomal RNA", at positions 524 to 776 of the family's 1533-position model. The record is from RNAcentral.